AUCAAUUUCCAUUCCACGUCUCCAAACAAUCUCCAAUUAAUUUUCCAAUUUCCCUUCUCCACUCCACUCCGUUCUCUCCCAACCCAGUGCAUUAUCCCUGAAAUCUUACAAAAUCAGCGAUCGGCAACGACCGAGCGAGUGGCGACCGACUAAGAGGAACAAACGAGACUGUGCUAUGAUAAUCAAGAUGAGGAACGAUCGACGGACGAUGAGGAGACACGAAAUCCGACUGACGGAGACCAGGCGACGAACUGAGAGGCCGACCGACCAACCGACGACGACGAGAACAAUAUCUGCCCGAGAAUCGAACAGAAAUUGUGAUGAAUGAUAGCAUUCAAAAUGUGCCGCAGAGCUGAAAGAUUCAAUCAUGGUCCUGUUAAGCGUACAAAAUUGAAUCAGACUCUCAUUUCCUCAUGGAAGAAGGGCGGUACAAUGUUCAUAUUUGAUACAGUAAUGCUUCAGUCAUUUCUUCAUUUGCUUUAUGUAGUUAUUUUUGCAUUGUUUAUCUCUCUUCACAAUUUGUAGGUACUUGAAGAUACAAGUCAAGCAUGAAACACUAGAUAUACAUGGAUUCUUAUGUUACUUGUAACAAUAUUUAAUUUUUGCUGUAGAGAGAGAUUAUCAUAAUAGGAAAUUUAACUUGGGAAUAUUGAUUGUGCUUUAAAAUACUACAAUGAUGUUUACUAUAGGUGAUGUGUCUUUUCCA
Long non-coding RNA from Mangifera indica (mango), 706 nucleotides. RefSeq lists it as uncharacterized. The record is from RefSeq and is a predicted model, not a curated record. The transcript is spliced from 3 exons. NCBI's taxonomy places the organism in Eukaryota, Viridiplantae, Streptophyta, Magnoliopsida, Sapindales, Anacardiaceae.